RNAcentral lists this transfer RNA (76 nucleotides) under Gammaproteobacteria bacterium. RNAcentral describes it as "tRNA-Glu". It matches the Rfam family "tRNA". From Rfam's summary of the family: Transfer RNA (tRNA) molecules are approximately 80 nucleotides in length. Their secondary structure includes four short double-helical elements and three loops (D, anti-codon, and T loops). Further hydrogen bonds mediate the characteristic L-shaped molecular structure. tRNAs have two regions of fundamental functional importance: the anti-codon, which is responsible for specific mRNA codon recognition, and the 3' end, to which the tRNAs corresponding amino acid is attached (by aminoacyl-tRNA synthetases). tRNAs cope with the degeneracy of the genetic code in two manners: having more than one tRNA (with a specific anti-codon) for a particular amino acid; and 'wobble' base-pairing, i.e. permitting non-standard base-pairing at the 3rd anti-codon position. Lineage: Bacteria; Pseudomonadati; Pseudomonadota; Gammaproteobacteria. The record is from RNAcentral. RNAcentral also lists the same sequence under 1 other name.
GUCCCCAUCGUCUAGAGGCCUAGGACAUCGCCCUUUCACGGCGGCAACAGGGGUUCGACUCCCCUUGGGGACGCCA